AUUAUAAUAUUGUAUGGUAUAGUAAUUAAAGUUGAGGUGUUUAAAGAUGAGUGUGCGUUCCAUUAGUUAGUUGGUGAGGUAAUGGCUCACCAAGACGAUGAUGGGUAGGGGGCGUGAGAGCGUGGUCCCCCACACGGGUACUGAGACACGGACCCGACUCCUACGGGAGGUAGUAGUAAGGAAUAUUGGAUAAUGGGCGGAAGCCUGAUCCAGCCAUCCCGCGUGCAGGAUGAAUGCCCUAUGGGUUGUAAACUGCUUUUAUAAGGGAAGAAACCCUUGGAUUUGUUUGGGGUUGAUGGUAUUUUAAGAAUAAGCACCGGUUAACUCCGUGCCAGUAGUUGUGGUAAUACGGAGGGUGCAAGCGUUAUCCGGAAUCACUGGGUUUAAAGGGUGCGUAGGCGGCCGAAAUAGUCAGAGGUGAAAUUCUACAGUUUAAUUGUAGAAUUGCCUUUGAAAUUGUUCGGCUAGAAUAGAGUUGAGGUUAGCGGAAUGUGACAUGUAGUGGUGAAAUGUAUAGAUAUGUUAUAGAAUAUUAAUUGUGAAGGUAGCUAAUUGGGUUUUUAUUGACGCUGAGGCACGAAAGUGUGGGGAGUGAACAGGAUUAGAUAUCCUGGUAGUUCACGCCCUAAACGAUGUUAACUCGACGUAUGGAUUUAAUUUGUGUGUUUAAGGGAAAUUGUUAAGUUAAUUAUUUGGGGAGUAUGUUUGUAAGAAUGAAAUUUAAAGGAAUUGAUGGGGGUUUGUAUAAGUGGUGGAGUAUGUGGUUUAAUUUGAUGAUACGCGAGGAACCUUACCUGGGCUCUAAUGUGAUUGUUAUUUGGAGAAAUUUGGGGUUUUUUUGGGAUAGGAAAUAAGGUGCUGCAUGGUUGUCGUCAGCUCGUGUUGUGAGGUGUUGGGUUAAGUUUUGUAAUGAGUGUAAUUUUUAUUGUUAGUUGUCAGCAAGUUAUGUUGGGGAUUUUAGUGAGAUUGUUGGUGUAAGUUGUGAGGAAGGUGGGGAUGACGUCAAAUCAUCAUGGCCUUUAUGCCCAGGGCGACACACGUGCUACAAUGGUCGGCAUAGAGGGUAGUGAAACCGUGAGGUGGAGCUAAUUUUAUAAAGCCGAUUUUAGUUUGGAUUGAAGUUUGGAAUUUGAUUAUAUGAAGUUGGAAUUGUUAGUAAUUGUGUAUCAGUUAUGGUGUGGUGAAUAUGUUUUUGGAUUUUGUAUAUG
RNAcentral lists this ribosomal RNA (1208 nucleotides) under metagenome. RNAcentral describes it as "bacterial SSU rRNA". It matches the Rfam family "Bacterial small subunit ribosomal RNA", at positions 173 to 1389 of the family's 1533-position model. The record is from RNAcentral.